Molecule: long non-coding RNA, 623 nt
Organism: Hyla sarda
Lineage: Eukaryota; Metazoa; Chordata; Amphibia; Anura; Hylidae
Exons: 4
Source: RefSeq, a predicted model, not a curated record
CUGAGCCGAGCGGGCACUUCCGCUCUGCGGUCGCCUACCACUUUCCAAAAUGUCCGCCCUAGCAACCGCCGCUUAGCAACCCGGGUCUGCACGGAGGACUGGGCGGUGCAGGGACUGGCAGGAUAGUCGAACAGGAAAAGGGCUAGAAAAAGACAGACCACGAAGCAACAAGUUUUGCAACUGCGCCUGUUGCCGCUGGAUUGCAUAAAACCACAGCAAUAACCUCACCACCAAAAGAGAAGAGAGCGGAGACACGUCACAACCCUCUGCAGCGUAUACUAUGCCCAUUGUGUACAGACGCCAGCAGAACCGACCAGUGACAUUCGCUUUCCUAUAAGAGGCGCUAUGGAUUGUCAGGGUUUAUGAAAUUGUCUGAAAAAGAGAAAAUAUCCAGUGAGUGGCCAUUGGGUGGAGAAAAAUGACUUCUUGAUAUCAGAGGAGAAUGGACAAACUUGUUCAAGAUAUCAAAUAUCCACUGGUUACUUUGGGCCCCUUAGUACCAAUUGAUCCUGGUAUAAACACCACAGCCACACCCAUCUUCUGAUGAUACUUCCUGCAGGGUAAUGCCCCAUGUCACAUGACAUCAUCUCAUACAGGACAAUGAGGUCACAUGACAUCAUCUC